RNAcentral lists this ribosomal RNA (252 nucleotides) under uncultured bacterium. Its description in RNAcentral is "partial 16S ribosomal RNA". It matches the Rfam family "Bacterial small subunit ribosomal RNA", at positions 524 to 776 of the family's 1533-position model. The record is from RNAcentral.
UACGAGGGGGGCAAGCGUUGUUCGGAAUUAUUGGGCGUAAAGGGCGCGUAGGCGGUUUGACAAGUCUGAUGUGAAAUCUAUGGGCUCAACCCAUAGCCUGCAUUAGAAACUGUCGGGCUUGAGUAUGGGAGAGGUGAGUGGAAUUUCCGGUGUAGCGGUGAAAUGCGUAGAUAUCGGAAGGAACACCAGCGGCGAAGGCGGCCAUCUGGACGGUGACUGACGCUCAGACGCGAAAGCGCGGGAGCAAACAGG